CCUACGGGUGGCAGCAGUGGGGAAUAUUGCACAAUGGGGGAAACCCUGAUGCAGCGACGCCGCGUGAGUGAAGAAGUAUUUCGGUAUGUAAAGCUCUAUCAGCAGGGAAGAAAAUGACGGUCCCUGACUAAGAAGCCCCGGCUAACUACGUCCCAGCAGCCGCGGUAAUACGUAGGGGGCAAGCGUUAUCCGGAUUUACUGGGUGUAAAGGGAGCGUAGACGGCAGCACAAGUCUGGAGUGAAAUGCCGGGGCUUAACCCCGGAACUGCUUUGGAAACUGUUCAGCUAGAGUGCAGGAGAGGUAAGUGGAAUUCCUAGUGUAGCGGUGAAAUGCGUAGAGAUUAGGAGGAACACCAGUGGCGAAGGCGGCUUACUGGACUGUAACUGACGUUGAGGCUCGAAAGCGUGGGGAGCAAACAGGAUUAGAUACCCCUGUAGUC
RNAcentral lists this ribosomal RNA (440 nucleotides) under uncultured bacterium. RNAcentral's name for it is "partial 16S ribosomal RNA". It matches the Rfam family "Bacterial small subunit ribosomal RNA", at positions 338 to 795 of the family's 1533-position model. The record is from RNAcentral.